Molecule: ribosomal RNA, 535 nt
Filed under: Helvella levis
Lineage: Eukaryota; Fungi; Ascomycota; Pezizomycetes; Pezizales; Helvellaceae
Description: eukaryotic LSU rRNA
Rfam family: Eukaryotic large subunit ribosomal RNA
Source: RNAcentral
AAUCUGGGGUCCCCGAGCCCCGAGUUGUAAUUUGGAGAGGCAUCUUCGGGGGGGAGCGUCGGCCCAUGUUCCUUGGAACAGGACGUCGCAGAGGGUGAGAAUCCCGUGCCUGGCCGGCUGCCUCCUCCCGGGUGAAGGGCCUUCGACGAGUCGAGUUGUUUGGGAAUGCAGCUCCAAGUGGGUGGUAAAUUUCAUCUAAAGCUAAAUACCGGCGGGAGACCGAUAGCGCACAAGUAGAGUGAUCGAAAGAUGAAAAGCACUUUGAAAAUAGAGUCAAAAAGUACGUGAAAUUGUUGAAAGGGAAGCGCUUGAGACCAGACUCAGGCCCGGGCAAACACCGCGCCCCCCGGGGCCGUGCAAUUGCCUGGGGCUGGGCCAGCAUCAGUCGGCGUGGCGGGACAAAGGCGCGGGGAAUGUGGCUCCGCUCGCGGAGUGUUAUCAGGCCCGCGCUCAAUGCCGCCCACGCCGACUGAGGACCGCGCCUCGGCUAGGAUGCUGGCAUAAUGGCCUUCAGCGACCCGUCUUGAAACACGGA